Non-coding RNA from Schistosoma haematobium, 46 nucleotides. The record is from Rfam. NCBI's taxonomy places the organism in Eukaryota, Metazoa, Platyhelminthes, Trematoda, Strigeidida, Schistosomatidae.
GCACUGCUGAGGAGUCCCACAAUAGGACGAAACGUGCGCUCAGUGC